Molecule: ribosomal RNA, 253 nt
Filed under: uncultured bacterium
Lineage: Bacteria
Description: partial 16S ribosomal RNA
Rfam family: Bacterial small subunit ribosomal RNA
Source: RNAcentral
UACAGAGGUGGCAAGCGUUGUUCGGAAUUACUGGGCGUAAAGGGCGCGUAGGCGGUUCGUUAAGUCCUGUGUGAAAGCCCUCGGCUUAACUGAGGAAGUGCACCCGAAACUGAGUAGCUAGAGUACGAAAGAGGGUCGCGGAAUUCCCGGUGUAGAGGUGAAAUGCGUAGAUAUCGUGAGGAACACCAGAGGCGAAGGCGGCUACCUGGACAAUUGCUGACGCUCAGGCACGAAAGCGUGGGGAGCAAAAGGG